Molecule: ribosomal RNA, 252 nt
Filed under: uncultured bacterium
Lineage: Bacteria
Description: partial 16S ribosomal RNA
Rfam family: Bacterial small subunit ribosomal RNA
Source: RNAcentral
UACGAAGGGGGCUAGCGUUGCUCGGAAUCACUGGGCGUAAAGGGUGCGUAGGCGGGUAGGUAAGUCCGUGGUGAAAUCUCUGAGCUUAACUCAGAAACUGCCGUGGAUACUAUUUGCCUUGAAUAUUGUGGAGGUGAGCGGAAUAUGUCAUGUAGCGGUGAAAUGCGUAGAUAUCUGGAGGAACACCAAUGGCGAAGGCAGCUCGCUGGGACGGUACUGACGCUGAGACGCGAAAGCGUGGGAGCAAACAGG